Salmo salar (Atlantic salmon) is the source of this 54-nucleotide non-coding RNA. The record is from Rfam. NCBI's taxonomy places the organism in Eukaryota, Metazoa, Chordata, Actinopteri, Salmoniformes, Salmonidae.
GAGUGCACUAACUGUAAGUCGCUCUGGAUAAGAGCGUCUGCUAACUGACUAGAA